UGGCUCAGAUUGAACGCUGGCGGCAGGCUUAACACAUGCAAGUCGAACGGUAACAUAAAGAAGCUUGCUUCUUUGAUGACGAGUGGCGGACGGGUGAGUAAUGCUUGGGAAUCUAGCUUAUGGAGGGGGAUAACUACGGGAAACUGUAGCUAAUACCGCGUAGAAUCGAGAGAUGAAAGUGUGGGACCUUCGGGCCACAUGCCAUAGGAUGAGCCCAAGUGGGAUUAGGUAGUUGGUGAGGUAAAGGCUCACCAAGCCGACGAUCUCUAGCUGGUCUGAGAGGAUGACCAGCCACACUGGGACUGAGACACGGCCCAGACUCCUACGGGAGGCAGCAGUGGGGAAUAUUGCGCAAUGGGGGCAACCCUGACGCAGCCAUGCCGCGUGAAUGAAGAAGGCCUUCGGGUUGUAAAGUUCUUUCGGUAGUGAGGAAGGCAUUUAGUUUAAUAGACUAGGUGAUUGACGUUAACUACAGAAGAAGCACCGGCUAACUCCGUGCCAGCAGCCGCGGUAAUACGGAGGGUGCGAGCGUUAAUCGGAAUUACUGGGCGUAAAGCGAGCGCAGACGGUUACUUAAGCAGGAUGUGAAAUCCCCGGGCUCAACCUGGGAACUGCGUUCUGAACUGGGUGACUAGAGUGUGUCAGAGGGAGGUAGAAUUCCACGUGUAGCAGUGAAAUGCGUAGAGAUGUGGAGGAAUACCGAUGGCGAAUGCAGCCUCCUGGGAUAACACUGACGUUUCAUGCUCGAAAGCGUGGGUAGCAAAACAGAUUAGAUACCCU
RNAcentral lists this ribosomal RNA (780 nucleotides) under uncultured bacterium. Its description in RNAcentral is "bacterial SSU rRNA". It matches the Rfam family "Bacterial small subunit ribosomal RNA", at positions 20 to 788 of the family's 1533-position model. The record is from RNAcentral.